AGAGUUUGAUCCUGGCUCAGAACGUACGCUGGCGGCACGCCUAACACAUGCAAGUCGAACGAAGUAGCAAUACUUAGUGGCAGACGGGUGAGUAACAUGUGGGUAUCUACCCUUUGGCCUGGAAUAACACGAGGAAACUUGUGCUAAUACCGGAUAAGUCUUUACGGAGAAAGCUUUAUGCACCAUUGGAUGAGCCCGCACUUGAUUAGUUUGUUGGUAGGGUAAUGGCCUACCAAGACUAUGAUCAAUAGCUGAUUUGAGAGGAUGAUCAGCCACAUUGGGACUGAGACACGGCCCAAACUCCUACGGGAGGCAGCAGUGGGGAAUCUUGCACAAUGGAGGAAACUCUGAUGCAGCGAUGCCGCGUGAGUGAAGAAGGCCUUUGGGUUGUAAAGCUCUUUCGUCGGGGAAGAAAAUGACUGUACCCGAAUAAGAAGGUCCGGCUAACUUCGUGCCAGCAGCCGCGGUAAUACGAAGGGACCUAGCGUAGUUCGGAAUUACUGGGCUUAAAGAGUUCGUAGGUGGUUGAAAAAGUUGGUGGUGAAAUCCCAGAGCUUAACUCUGGAACUGCCAUCAAAACUUUUCAGCUAGAGUAUGAUAGAGGAAAGCAGAAUUUCUAGUGUAGAGGUGAAAUUCGUAGAUAUUAGAAAGAAUACCAAUUGCGAAGGCAGCUUUCUGGAUCAUUACUGACACUGAGGAACGAAAGCAUGGGUAGCGAAGAGGAUUAGAUACCCUCGUAGUCCAUGCCGUAAACGAUGUGUGUUAGACGUUGGAAAUUUA
This 780-nucleotide ribosomal RNA is filed under the name uncultured bacterium. RNAcentral describes it as "bacterial SSU rRNA". It matches the Rfam family "Bacterial small subunit ribosomal RNA", at positions 8 to 833 of the family's 1533-position model. The record is from RNAcentral.